UGAGGAAUAUUGGUCAAUGGACGAAAGUCUGAACCAGCCAAGUAGCGUGCAGGAUGACGGCCCUCCGGGUUGUAAACUGCUUUUAGUUGGGAAUAAAAAAAGGGACGUGUCCCUUAUUGUAUGUACCUUCAGAAAAAGGACCGGCUAAUUCCGUGCCAGCAGCCGCGGUAAUACGGAAGGUCCAGGCGUUAUCCGGAUUUAUUGGGUUUAAAGGGAGCGUAGGCGGAUUGUUAAGUCAGCGGUUAAAGGGUGUGGCUCAACCAUACAUUGCCGUUGAAACUGGCGAUCUUGAGUGCAGACAGGGAUGCCGGAAUUCGUGGUGUAGCGGUGAAAUGCUUAGAUAUCACGAAGAACUCCGAUCGCGAAGGCAGGUGUCCGGGCUGCAACUGACGCUGAGGCUCGAAAGUGUGGGUAUCAAACAGGAUUAGAUACCCUGGUAGUCCACACAGUANCGAUGUAUACUCGCGGUUUGCGAUAGACAGUAAGCCGCCAAGCGAAAGCAUUAAGUAUACCACCUGGGGAGUACGCCGGCACGG
This 536-nucleotide ribosomal RNA is filed under the name uncultured bacterium. Its description in RNAcentral is "bacterial SSU rRNA". It matches the Rfam family "Bacterial small subunit ribosomal RNA", at positions 355 to 894 of the family's 1533-position model. The record is from RNAcentral.